RNAcentral lists this ribosomal RNA (440 nucleotides) under uncultured Anaerolineae bacterium. RNAcentral's name for it is "partial 16S ribosomal RNA". It matches the Rfam family "Bacterial small subunit ribosomal RNA", at positions 338 to 794 of the family's 1533-position model. Lineage: Bacteria; Bacillati; Chloroflexota; Anaerolineae. The record is from RNAcentral.
CCUACGGGAGGCAGCAGUGAGGAAUAUUGGGCAAUGCCCGAAAGGGUGACCCAGCAACGCCGCGUGGAGGAUGAAGGUCUUCGGAUCGUAAAGCCCUUUUCCAGAGGAAGAGGAAGGACAGUACUCUGGGAAUAAGUCUCGGCUAACUACGUGCCAGCAGCCGCGGUAAAACGUAGGAGGCUAGCGUUAUCCGGAUUUAUUGGGCGUAAAGCGCGUGCAGGCGGUGCCUUAAGUUGGAUGUGAAAUCUCCUGGCCUAACUGGGAGGGGUCAUUCAAGACUGAGGCGCUUGAGGGCAGAAGAGGGAAAUGGAAUUCCCGGUGUAGCGGUAAAAUGCGUAGAUAUCGGGAGGAACACCAGUGGCGAAGGCGGUUCCCCGGCCUGUUCCUGACGCUGAGACGCGAAAGCUAGGGGAGCGAACGGGAUUAGAUCCCCCUGUAGU